RNAcentral lists this non-coding RNA (31 nucleotides) under Mus musculus (house mouse). Lineage: Eukaryota; Metazoa; Chordata; Mammalia; Rodentia; Muridae. The record is from RNAcentral.
UGCAAAUCUCUGCGCUUAGAGUUUAGCCACU